GCCCUUCGGGGCAUAUGGUCAGCUGAGAAUAUACAGAGAAGAUUGGCAUGGCCCCUGCACUAAAAAUGACACGCCUAAUCAAAGAGAAUUUACCUGUUUUU
RNAcentral lists this small nuclear RNA (101 nucleotides) under Penicillium digitatum PHI26. The record is from RNAcentral. Lineage: Eukaryota; Fungi; Ascomycota; Eurotiomycetes; Eurotiales; Aspergillaceae.